UACGGAGGGGACUAGCGUUGUUCGGAAUUACUGGGCGUAAAGCGCACGUAGGCGGAUUUGUAAGUCAGGGGUGAAAUCCCGGGGCUCAACCUCGGAACUGCCUUUGAUACUGCGAAUCUCGAGUCCGGAAGAGGUGAGUGGAAUUCCGUAGUGUAGAGGUGAAAUUCGUAGAUAUUAGGAAGAACACCAGUGGCGAAGGCGGCUCACUGGUCCGGUACUGACGCUGAGGUGCGAAAGCGUGGGGAGCAAACAGGG
RNAcentral lists this ribosomal RNA (255 nucleotides) under uncultured bacterium. RNAcentral describes it as "partial 16S ribosomal RNA". It matches the Rfam family "Bacterial small subunit ribosomal RNA", at positions 524 to 777 of the family's 1533-position model. The record is from RNAcentral.